AUAGAACAGCAGAAGCAAAGUAGGAAUUAGUGGGGGUAGGAGAGAGAAUGGAGGAGCUGGUCUGGUUGCCUAGCAACAUGCAGUGUCCUUGGAGACGAGUCACUAUGGAAACAGAGUGAGAACAGGUAGCGGGGGAAGGGCGAUUCUGCCCCAGCCAAAUGCAGCUGCAGAGAACAGGAAAGUGAUGUGGAUGUCCCACAGUUCGUUUGUUUUUCUUUUAAAUAAUCUCCUGAUUUUAUAUUCAGAUGGCUUCCGUUUAUACUUUCACGUAUUAUUUGUAUAUCUCUCAGGUUAGCUUUUCCUAAAAUGUAGUUCAAGGACUCCUGGGGGAAUCAAGAUUCUUUAAGGUGGUUCACAAUUCCAAAGUAUUUUGGACAUUAACACCAACAUUAACACUUUGGCUGGGCGCAGUGGCUCAUGUCUGUAAUCCCAUCACUUUGGGAGGCUGAGGCAGGCAGAUCACCUGAUGUCAGGAGUUCGCGACCAGCCUGACCAACUCGGUGAAACCCCAUCUCUACUAAAAAUACAAAAAUUAGCCGGGUGUGGUGGUGGGCAUCUGUAAUCCCAGCUACUCAGGAGGCUGAGGCAGGAGAAUCCCUUGAACCCAGGAGGUGGAGGUUGAGGUGAGCUGAGAUCACGCCACUGCACUCCAUCCUGAGCAACAGAACAGGACUCCAUCUCAAAAAAAAAAAAAAAAUAUUUGCCUUUUCUUUUUCUUUGUCUCUGUAUGAUGUAAUGUAAGUGUUUGAAUUAAGUAGUCAAUUAGAGAAUCUAGCCAUCUUGUAGUAACGGGGACAUGAACAAGGUAUGCAAAAACGUAAAACGAUGCCAUGUCUAUUGGAGGGAGAAAGAAUGGGGGAGCUGGCCUUGUUUCCAGGCUGUGCUCAGCGUCCCUGGAGAGGAUCCACCGUGAGUUGGAGUGGAAGAAGGCCGUGGAGGAGGGGCUGUUCCUCCCUAACCCGCUACAGCUGUAGGAGUGAGAGAUGGAGCAGGCAGAGUCAGAGCCCAGCAGGGAUGGGGCUUUCCGAAAGAAUCGCAUGAAAGAACAUGAAACAGAGACCUGAGUCCGUGUAGAAGGAAUUAAUUUGAAUGACUGACCACAGAAGGUAACCUGGGGUUGGGAGUGAAGGUCAGUGGAAAAUAGUUUAAUCAAUGGAGUGCUGAUCUUCAAGGGCUGAACGGAUGGUAGCAGCAAAUAGUGUAAUCAAUGGAGUGCUGAUCUUCAAGGGCCGAGUGGAUGGUGGCAGCAAAUAGUUCAAUCAAUGGAGCACUGAUCUUCAAGGGCCGAAUGGAUGGUAGCAGCAAAUAGUGUAAUCAAUGCAGUGCUGAUCUUCAAGGGCCGAAUGGAUGGUAGCAGCAAAUAGUUUAAUCAAUGGAGCACUGAUCUUCAAGGACUGAAUGGAUAGUAGCAUCAGGUGUGCAGAGGAAUAGCAUCAGGUGUGCAGAGGAAGCUACCUGCAAGGUCAUGAACUCUGAGAGUUUGAGCUGUGCCUCUAAAAGCUGUAUCAAAAGCACCUUGCACUGUUGAAGCAGAUAGUGUCUUGCAAUGUUGCCCAGGCUGGAGUGCAGUGGUUCCCCUCCUGUUGUGAAUGUCUGACUUAAAUCCUGUUAUAUCCUAAUAUGGGUUCAUCAUGCAGAUUCUUCAAGAAGAAGAGGGUUGCGGAGGAGAGAUACUAGGACAGUACCUGGCCCACCACAGAAGCCUGAUAAAUAUCUACGGGAUGACUGAAUGAAUGAAGAAGCCAGAGCAGGGAAAGAAAAGAAGACAAUGAAAGAAACAGAGAGGAGUCUUCCUGGUAUAUUUGCUCAUGUGUACUUAAAGACAUGGAUGGGCUCGUCUGGGAAGUGAGGAGCGCCUCUGCCCGCCGCCCACUGUCUGGGAUGUGAGGAGCGCCUCUGCGUGGCCGCCCCGUCUGCGAAGUGAGGAGCGCCUCUGCCCGGCCGCCCCGUCUGGGAAGUGAGGAGCACCUCUGCCCGGCCGCCCCGUCUGGGAAUUGAGGAGCGCCUCUGCCCAGCCGCCCCUUCUGGGACAUGAGCGCCUCUGCGCGGCCGCCCUAUCUGGGAAGUGAGGAGCGCCUCUGCCCGGCCGCCCCGUCUGGGAAUUGAGGAGCGCCUCUGCCCGGCCGCCCCGUCUGGGAAGUGAGGAGCGCCUCUGCCCGGCCGCCACUUCUGGGAAGUGAGGAGCGCCUCUGCCCGGCCGCCCAUCGUCUGGGACAUGAGGUGCACCUCUGCCCGGCCGCCCCGUCUGGGAAGUGAGGAGCACCUCUGCCCGGCCGCCCCGUCUGGGAAGUGAGGAGCGCCUCUGCCCGGCCGCCCCGUCUGGGAAGUGAGGAGCGCCUCUGCCCGGCCGCCCCGUCUGGGAAGUGAGGAGCGCCUCUGCCCGGCCGCCACUUCUGGGAAGUGAGGAGCGCCUCUGCCCGGCCGCCCAUCGUCUGGGACAUGAGGUGCACCUCUGCCCGGCCGCCCCGUCUGGGAAGUGAGGAGCACCUCUGCCCGGCCGCCCCGUCUGGGACGUGAGGAGCGCCUCUGCCCGGCCGCCCCGUCUGGGACGUGAGGAGCGCCUCUGCCCGGCCGCCCCGUCUGGGAGGUGUACCACAGAGACCAGAAGCAAUGUGGGGGCUGGACGUGGUGGCUUGCGCCUGUAGUCCCGGUACUCUGGGAGGCCAAGGCGGGUUGAUCACUUGAGGCUAGGAGUUCGGGACCAGCCUGGCCAACAUGGCGAAACAUAUGAAAAAUACAACAGACAAACCAACCAACCAACCAAGCGACAACAAAACAGGUCUACCCUGGAGUCAUACUCUAAUUUUUUCUGUUUUCCUCCCUUUCUGAUCCUUUACCCCACUUUCUUUUUCUUCCUCUUCCUUCUCCUUCUUCUUUAUCAAAUAGAGGAUUGAGUUAUUAUCAUUGAUCCAUAUAAAGUCCCUCUCUCAUUUAUUUUCUUUAAUUCCCACACCCUAUUUCUAUUCCCCAUCUUCCCAUGUGCAACCUUCCUAAUAUGUUUGAUAUACAUCUUUUUGUUUGUACUUUUAAAAAAUAAAAAUAAAAAAAUUAAAAAAAAAAAA
Symphalangus syndactylus (siamang) is the source of this 3062-nucleotide long non-coding RNA. RefSeq lists it as uncharacterized. The record is from RefSeq and is a predicted model, not a curated record. Lineage: Eukaryota; Metazoa; Chordata; Mammalia; Primates; Hylobatidae.